This 86-nucleotide transfer RNA is filed under the name bacterium NHP-B. Its description in RNAcentral is "tRNA-Leu". It matches the Rfam family "tRNA". From Rfam's summary of the family: Transfer RNA (tRNA) molecules are approximately 80 nucleotides in length. Their secondary structure includes four short double-helical elements and three loops (D, anti-codon, and T loops). Further hydrogen bonds mediate the characteristic L-shaped molecular structure. tRNAs have two regions of fundamental functional importance: the anti-codon, which is responsible for specific mRNA codon recognition, and the 3' end, to which the tRNAs corresponding amino acid is attached (by aminoacyl-tRNA synthetases). tRNAs cope with the degeneracy of the genetic code in two manners: having more than one tRNA (with a specific anti-codon) for a particular amino acid; and 'wobble' base-pairing, i.e. permitting non-standard base-pairing at the 3rd anti-codon position. The record is from RNAcentral.
GCCCGCUUGGUGGAACCGGUAGACACAACAGACUUAAAAUCUGUCGGCCUUUGGCUGUGCCAGUUCGAGUCUGGCAGCGGGCACCA